RNAcentral lists this ribosomal RNA (512 nucleotides) under uncultured Paraglomus. Its description in RNAcentral is "bacterial SSU rRNA". It matches the Rfam family "Eukaryotic small subunit ribosomal RNA", at positions 569 to 1083 of the family's 1831-position model. Lineage: Eukaryota; Fungi; Glomeromycota; Glomeromycetes; Paraglomerales; Paraglomeraceae. The record is from RNAcentral.
AGCAGCCGCGGUAAUUCCAGCUCCAAUAGCGUAUAUUAAAGUUGUUGCAGUUAAAAAGCUCGUAGUUGAACUUCAGGCCUGUCCAGACGGUCCGCCUUAAUUGGUGUGUACUGUCCUUGGGUGGGUCCUACCUUCUGGCGAAGCGGCAUGGCCUUAAUUGGUUGUGUCGGGGAACCAGGACUUUUACUGUGAAAAAUUAGAGUGUUCAAAGCAGGCAAAUAUGCUCGAAUACAUUAGCAUGGAAUAAUGGAAUAGGACGAUGGUUCUAUUUUGUUGGUUCUAGGACCGUUGUAAUGAUUAAUAGGGAUAGUUGGGGGCAUUAGUAUUCAAUUGUCAGAGGUGAAAUUCUUGGAUUUAUUGAAGACUAACUACUACGAAAGCAUUUGCCAAGGAUGUUUUCAUUAAUCAAGAACGAAAGUUAGGGGAUCGAAGACGAUCAGAUACCGUCGUAGUCUUAACCAUAAACUAUGCCGACUAGGAAUCGGGCGAUGUUGACAAAAUGACUCGCUCGG